AGGAGGAGGAUGAGAACGUGCUCAAAGUUGCUGAUGCCAAGAAGGCCUUCGAGAAGCCCAAGGGGAAGGCGCCGGUGCCCGGCGUGGCCAGGAAAGCACCUUUGGUCCAGCUUGCUCAGGGAGAGAAACAGAACAAGAUGGCAAAAGGAUUCAAAACGGGUUGAAUAAUGAGGACGAGACUAGGAUAAUGGGCUAAGUGUAACGUGGAGCGCCACAGGAAUCACAGCGCCAAGCCUCACGCUGCUGCUCAAAGCUCCCACUCGCUGUGUGGGGCCUGGGUGGGUGUUUCUGCUAUGCAGAGCGAUAGGAAGCGUCCAUCCAGGAUGCUCGUGGUGGAAAUAAAAUCCAGCUUGCUCUCUUCACUCUUUA
Molecule: long non-coding RNA, 369 nt
Organism: Pezoporus occidentalis (night parrot)
Lineage: Eukaryota; Metazoa; Chordata; Aves; Psittaciformes; Psittacidae
Exons: 2
Source: RefSeq, a predicted model, not a curated record